CAAUAGCGUAUAUUAAAGUUGUUGCAGUUAAAAAGCUCGUAGUUGGACCUUGGACCUGGACAGGCGGUCCGCCUCACGGCGUGUACUGUCUUGCUGGGUCUUUCCUCUUGGUGAUCUGUUGUUUCGGCAGCAGGGAACCAGGACUUUUACUUUGAAAAAAUUAGAGUGUUCAAAGCAGGCUCGACGCCGGAAUAUAUUAGCAUGGAAUAAUAAAAUAGGACGUGCGGUUCUAUUUUGUUGGUUUUUGGAAUCGCCGUAAUGAUUAAUAGGGACAGUCGGGGGCAUUAGUACUCACAUGCUAGAGGUGAAAUUCUUGGAUUUUGUGAAGACUAACUUCUGCGAGAGCAUUUGCCAAGGAUGUUUUCAUUAA
Molecule: ribosomal RNA, 370 nt
Filed under: uncultured eukaryote
Lineage: Eukaryota
Description: partial 18S ribosomal RNA
Rfam family: Eukaryotic small subunit ribosomal RNA
Source: RNAcentral